Molecule: long non-coding RNA, 2964 nt
Organism: Magallana angulata
Lineage: Eukaryota; Metazoa; Mollusca; Bivalvia; Ostreida; Ostreidae
Exons: 3
Source: RefSeq, a predicted model, not a curated record
UCAACAUGUGUUCAAAGACUAUAAAGUAAGAAGAAAAACCAAAAGGUUUUCUUUUAUUCUUUUAAACAAUAAGAUGCUUUCUUUGGUGAUUCAUGCGGGGUAUGAAGGUGGCGAUGUUGCAUAAAAAUACAAAACCCGCGUUAGCAAGUUAUGUAAGUUUUUUUUCUGCAAUGAUCGCUAUCUUCAUAACACCCGCAUGAAUCAUCAAAGAACGCAUUUUUAGGCGGAAGCGCCUAUUGCAAUUGCUUUCAUGACCUUCUACGUCAUAGGUCAAAUUCUUGCCCUUUUUCAUGGUAAACUAUCGGAAGUUAUUUAAACUAAGGGCACACAACUCUAUAACACCCCCCCCCCCCCACUGUUCGACCCCCGUUUAAACAUCGUUUCUGAUAAUAGAACUGUGGUAUGUCUCUAAAUUUUUACUUCAUCGUUUUUAAUUAUCCAUUGAAAAUGCCUAUAGCAAAGAUAGCAAGUGGUAGAUUAACGUUUUUGAUAGUACAGGAACGAACGAUAACUCUUGCGAUGGUAUGCGACAUAAACAAGGGAUAAGCACGGAGUCUGAUGCCUGUAGAUGAAAUUCCGAGGGAAAAAAUAGUUCAAUUUGAAAUUGCGUGUUUAUGAGUACAGAAGAAAAAAUUGAUAGGGUAACAGGUAAUGAAUGCUUUUAAAAAAAAACAAAACAAGGGUGUGUAUAAAUCUCUUUAAAAAAGAUUAUUAGAAUGAUACAAUGCCUAUAAAUUAUUUGUACCAACGUUUUGCAUAGUAAUCUCAGACAAUACUGCAUAACGUUAUGCAGUGUAAAAUUUUUGUCAACAAACCCACGUUGAGAACAACUGGUGACUGUCCAUCUUCGACAUACGUAAGAUGAAUGUCAAGAAACUGAUUAACAUUAACUGACAAGAGGAGACAAUGAGAGCUCAACAUUAUUCUUCAUAUCUGGUGAAGGGGAGAGUUGCUAAAUUUGGGUGCACAACUAAAUUCAAGCAAAACAAAGAAAAAGACAGAUGCUAUAAAAAUGUGGUGUUGGCUUCCCAGUUCAGCACUUUUAAAGAGGGACAAACAUUGCACGUUUGCAACUUCUAAAUGGAAGCAGGGCAUCUGAAAUAUGCUGGAAUCCUCAUCUUAAUGGCCUUAACGCCAUUUUCAAGAAUAUCAAGACAGUGGUCAUUGGUAUAAUGGAUGCAAGACAACACUAGUGAAUUGAAAUUGUUGUUACUACAAAUGACACACUCCAGGAUUACACACUUUCCAAAAAACCCAUUACGGCAUGCAACCAUAAAGGGAUUCUUUGAAAGUCUAUGUUCUGUAAUGGUGGAAGUUCUCUUGAAGAUUCCAUUAGUAUUAAAAUAAAAACUUAAAAGGUAAAAGUUCAAAUGUCUUCAAUACUAGAGACCUGUGAUUUGACAGUACAACAUGGAGCAAUUGUAAAGGACACAUAAUUUGUACAUUAUUGAAUAUCAAUAUAUAGUUAUCCAUAAAUUACUGGGCUUUUACAUUGUAUUGUAAUUCUCAACAUUUGCAUAUUUGAUCUUUGUAAAAUAUGUUUGGUAUACAGUACAGUAAGAAAAUACAUUCUUUCUAAGUUUUAAACAUUUGUCAACAAAAUAUAUGAACUGCAAUCUGAGGAUCAAUAAGAGGUCUGCAAUUCUCCACAUAUAAAAUGACUUUGAAAUCAUCCUGUUACUGUUAAACUUGAGAAUAUAUUAAGAAAACAUCAAACUCUCUUUAUCGAAUACCUUUUUUACAACAUAUUGUCCGGAUAUUUUAUGUAUUAUUCUAUGAAGCUGAUUACUUAAUGGCUAUUGCUUCUCAGGUAAGCAAAGUGACACACAUACUACUUGAUUCUGUAAAAUACUGUAAUCAAGUGAUGUACAAAUGUCAUUUCUGCAUUUUUUGUGAAACAUUAUUGUAAAGAAUAAAAUACUACAGUUUCAGAAGUUCAGUUUACUAAAUUCUAAUACUAUAAUAUUCUUUCAUCAUUUUGAUGUCAAAAUGAACAUUUUUAAUAAAAAUGGCAUAAUAAAUGAAAAUGUAUUCCUGUAAUUUCAGCUUGCAUAUAAGUAUCAACUGUUAUACGAAUGUACUUCACAAAAUAAAUGUUUUGAUGUUUAAAUUGCUCUUCUCAUUUAAUCUUUAUUUAAGGCAUGACCCAGACUAAUCUGGUGCAGUAACAGAGUAUUUCCACAUUUACUACAUGUAUAUACCUUAAUUGACAUAUUAAAAUAGUGUUUUAUGUUAUCAAACUAAUUCUGAUUGACAACAUUGACAACUUGCAAUCAUGCUUCCGCCUAUCAGUACUUUCAGUACUUUGAUAUUGUUUAUAUUUACAUCUUUCAUUUAACAAAUUAAUAAAUUGAUUGUAAAAAGUAAGUUAAAUUAACGUAAUUACUGUUGAUGUACAUCAGUACGUUAGCUAAAGAAACAGCCAAAUCAUCUCCUAUGGGAAUUUGCGUCUUACAUCAUCGUGGUUAUUUCGUGCAGUCUGUGAUUUUUCUUAAGUCGCUGUAGGUUUCGAUUAAUCGAUAAACGGGGCCUGUAGAUUUUAGUCCUGAAAAUUUUUGAAGAGUUUUGAAUCAACAAUAAGUUUCCGUAAGAAAUAGAGGGAAUCAUACUCGGUAGAUGUAAACAUGAAAAUAAUUCAUAAGAAUGGCCCUUCUGUUUGAUACCAAUAAUUAAAAUAACAAUGCAAAUCAACUUCUUAAAUUUCUUUAAUGCAAUUGAAAGCACUUGAAUUUAUUUGAGAGAGUCAGAUCAUUUUAAAAAAUUUGAAUACAAGCAUGUUUUCAUGGUGUGUACAUGUAAUAAUGCAUCGGACAAUUAAUAAAAAGUUGAUAUAUAGAAGUGAAGGUUUUUGUUCUUCAGUAAUUUCAAAUAAGAAAACAUGUUAAUGAAAAUAUUUUCAAAAGGCUGAUUGUUCUGUGUGUUAAAUAAUAGUAUUUGAUUAUGAUUGCAUUGGUGGUUUGUCUU